GCCGGGGUGGCUCAGUUGGUUAAGCGCCUGACUUGGGCUCAGGAGAUGAUCUUGUGUGCGUGGGUUUGAGCCCUGCAUCUGGCU
This 84-nucleotide transfer RNA is filed under the name Felis catus (domestic cat). It matches the Rfam family "tRNA". Rfam says of the family: Transfer RNA (tRNA) molecules are approximately 80 nucleotides in length. Their secondary structure includes four short double-helical elements and three loops (D, anti-codon, and T loops). Further hydrogen bonds mediate the characteristic L-shaped molecular structure. tRNAs have two regions of fundamental functional importance: the anti-codon, which is responsible for specific mRNA codon recognition, and the 3' end, to which the tRNAs corresponding amino acid is attached (by aminoacyl-tRNA synthetases). tRNAs cope with the degeneracy of the genetic code in two manners: having more than one tRNA (with a specific anti-codon) for a particular amino acid; and 'wobble' base-pairing, i.e. permitting non-standard base-pairing at the 3rd anti-codon position. The record is from Rfam by way of RNAcentral. Lineage: Eukaryota; Metazoa; Chordata; Mammalia; Carnivora; Felidae.